AUACAGAGGGUGCAAACGUUGUUCGGAAUUACUGGGCAUAAAGCGCGCGUAGGCGGUCAUGUAAGUGUGGAGUGAAAUCCCACGGCUCACCCGUGGAACUGCUUCGCAUACUGCAUGACUAGAGAACGGUAGGGGAGAGCGGAACUCUUGGAGGAGCGGUGAAAUGCGUAGAUAUCAAGAGGAACACCGAUGGCGAAGGCAGCUCUCUGGUCCGUUUCUGACGCUGAGGUGCGAAAGCUAGGGUAGCGAACGGGAUUAGAAACCCCAGUAGUCC
RNAcentral lists this ribosomal RNA (274 nucleotides) under uncultured bacterium. RNAcentral's name for it is "partial 16S ribosomal RNA". It matches the Rfam family "Bacterial small subunit ribosomal RNA", at positions 523 to 796 of the family's 1533-position model. The record is from RNAcentral.